GAUGAACGCUGGCGGUGUGCCUAACACAUGCAAGUCGAGCGAACGGACGAGAAGCUCGUUUCCCUGCGGUUAGCGGCGGACGGGUGAGUAACACGUGGAUAACCAUCUUAUUAUACUGGGAUAACUUCGGGAAACCGGAGCCAAUAAUGCAGAAUACUAUGAACGGCAUGGAUCAAAAGAGAAUGACGCCUUUCCCGACUCUAUUAGCUGGUUCCGUGCUGGAUUAGCUAGUUGGUAAGGUAACGGCUCACCAAGGCAACGAUGCGUAGCCGACCUGAGAGGAUGAUCAGCCACACUGGAACUGAGACACGGUCCAGACUCCUACGGGAGGCAGCAGUAGGGAAUCUUGCGCAAUGGGCGAAAGCCUGACCGAGCAACACCGCGUGGGUGAUGAAGGUCUUCGGAUCGUAAAGCUCUUUUAUUGGGAAAGAACAUCUGUGUGAGAAUAUCUCGACGUCCUGACGGUACCUAAUGAAAAAGCCCCGGCUAACUUCGUG
This 497-nucleotide ribosomal RNA is filed under the name uncultured bacterium. RNAcentral describes it as "partial 16S ribosomal RNA". It matches the Rfam family "Bacterial small subunit ribosomal RNA", at positions 28 to 507 of the family's 1533-position model. The record is from RNAcentral.